GUCGGACCAGUGAACGGCCCGCCGAUUGAACGAGAUCGCAAACUCCUGGCGCCGCCGCUGCAGCCCCGCCGAAGCGACCGGCCUUACGUAGUGCACAAGGCCGGGGCGGGCUCUGGGCCUGAGCCUCUAAGCCCGCCCAGGCCGCUGGUGGUGCGGCGCGGACGGGGGCGGAGCUGGGCCGCGCGUGACAGGGGUGGGCGGGCCCGGGCCGCCGCGGGCACCUGGGGCUCGGACCCGGUCUCUGCUCCCGCGUGGAGUCGGCCUCGGCGGGCCUCGGUGGGCCUAUCCUUGAGUUUACAUCCGAAGGAGCCCUGGCUGGGCUGAGGAAGGCCGCGAGACUCGUGACCUCGGCGGCGUUUGAGGCCGAGCUCGCUGGCCCAGCGCGGAGCCCGGGCGAGCCGGAAGCUAGGCUCAGCAAUCUGCCUGCCAUGUUGUAAGCAGCCCUUUGAGUGUCCCAGGUGAUGGCAAAGAAUGAAGACUUCUGCCAACAGCCAAUAAGGAGCUGAGGUGCUCUGACCGGAUGUGAGUGAGCUUGUGAGCGACAACUUCAGCAUUAGUUGAGUGUUUAGAUGACUGAAGACCUAGCCAAUAGCUUGACUGCAAACUCAUGAGAAACCGUGAACCAGAACCACCCAGCUAAGGCACCAGCUGAAUUAAGAGAAGCACACCUCCUCCCAAGAACAGUACUCCAGAUAUGACAUAACGCCUGGGUAGGGUUCGAAGUAGCAGCCAGGCUGUAAUGUAAGCUGGAACUUCAAUCAAGGCAGAGAAGAAACAGUUCAGGAGCUGACGAGGCAUGGCCAAGGACACUGAAUCCUCACUGACUGGCAGGAAGCGAAUCUGCUUCCACUGAAUAUCUGCUUUUCCUCGUGGCCUCCUGCCUGCAGGGGUGAAUCCUCCAGCCUGUGCUCUCAGGCCUUAAGGUUCUAGACACAAUAUAGCAAGACUAAAGACAUGUACAGCUUCCCCAGCAGAAUUUGGUAAGAUUCAGAGUACAGUGGGGAGCCCAUGGGUGGAAUACCCCUCAAACACAUUUUUCCCUCUUAAUCUGGACAUUCAAAAAUCACCAGUAUGUAGCUGCAUCAAUGGUGUGGAGCAAGACCAAUAAAAAGUUGGAGAUAAACUUGCAAAAGGGAAGGGAACUACCACUGGCAUUUUUCACAGAACUAGAACAAAAAAUCUCACAAUUUGUAUGGAAACACAAAAGACCCCGAAUAGCCAAAGCAAUUUUGAGAACGAAAAAUGGAGCUGGAGGAAUCAGGCUUCCUGACUUCAGACUAUACUACAAAGCUACAGUAAUCAACAGUAUGGUACUGGCACAAAAACAGAAAUAUAGAUCAAUGGAACAGGAUAGAAAGCCCAGAGAUAAACCCACGCACAUAUGGUCACCUUAUCUUUGACAAAGGAAGCAGAAAUGUACAGUGGAGAAAGGACAGCCUAUUCAAUAAGUGGUGCUGGGAAAACUGGACAGCUACAUGUAAAAGUAUGAGAUUAGAUCACUCCCUAACACCAUACACAAAAAUAAGCUCAAAAUGGAUUAAAGACCUAAAUGUAAGGCCAGAAACUAUCAAACUCUUAGAGGAAAACAUAGGCAGAACACUCUAUGACAUAAAUCACAGCAAGAUCCUUUUUGACCCACCUCCUAGAGAAAGGGAAAUAAAAACAAAAGUAAACAAAUGGGACCUAAUGAAACUUAAAAGCUUUUGCGCAGCAAAGGAAACCAUAAAGAAGACCAAAAGACAACCCUCAGAAUGGGAGAAAAUAUUUGCAAAUGAAGCAACUGACAAAGGAUUAAUCUCCAAAAUUUAUAAGCAGCUCAUGCAGCUUAAUAACAAAAGAACAAACAACCCAAUCCAAAAAUGGGCAGAAGACCUAAAUAGACAUUUCUCCAGAGAAGAUAUACAGAGUGCCAACAAACACAUGAAAGAAUGCUCAACAUCACUAAUCAUUAGAGAAAUGCAAAUCAAAACUACAAUGAGAUAUCAUCUCACACCAGUCAGAAUGGCCAUCAUCAAAAAAUCUAGAAACAAUAAAUGCUGGAGAGGGUGUGGAGAAAAGGGAACCCUCUAACACUGUUGGUGGGAAUGUAAAUUGAUACAGCCACUGUGGAGAACAGUAUGGAGGUUCCUUAAAAAGCUACAAAUAGAACUACCAUAUGACCCAGCAAUCCCACUACUGGGCAUAUACCCUGAGAAAACCAUAAUUCAAAAAGAGUCAUGUACCAAAAUGUUCAUUGCAGCUCUAUUUACAAUAGCCCAGA
Long non-coding RNA from Globicephala melas (long-finned pilot whale), 2260 nucleotides. RefSeq lists it as uncharacterized. NCBI's taxonomy places the organism in Eukaryota, Metazoa, Chordata, Mammalia, Artiodactyla, Delphinidae. The record is from RefSeq and is a predicted model, not a curated record.